GAUGAACGCUGGCGGCGUGCCUAACACAUGCAAGUCGAACGGAGAUUACGGACGGAAGUUUUCGGAUGGAAGACUGUAAUUCUUAGUGGCGGACGGGUGAGUAACGCGUGGGCAACCUGCCCUAUACAGGGGGAUAGCAGCUGGAAACGGCUGGUAAGACCGCAUAAGUCGGCGAGACCGCAUGGUUUUGCCGGGAAAUGAGCAAUCAGGUAUAGGAUGGGCCCGCGUCCGAUUAGCCAGUUGGCAGGGUAAAAGCCUACCAAAGCAACGAUCGGUAGCCGGACGGGGAGGUCGGACGGCCACAUUGGGACUGAGACACGGCCCAAACUGCUACGGGAGGCAGCAGUGGGGGAUAUUGCACAAGGGAGGAAACUCUGAUGCAGCGACGCCGCGUGAGUGAAGAAGUAUUUCGGUAUGUAAAGCUCUAUCAGCAGGGAAGAUGAUGACGGUACCUGACUAAGAAGCCCCGGCUAACUACGUG
This 481-nucleotide ribosomal RNA is filed under the name uncultured bacterium. Its description in RNAcentral is "partial 16S ribosomal RNA". It matches the Rfam family "Bacterial small subunit ribosomal RNA", at positions 28 to 507 of the family's 1533-position model. The record is from RNAcentral.